This 224-nucleotide ribosomal RNA is filed under the name uncultured bacterium. RNAcentral describes it as "partial 16S ribosomal RNA". It matches the Rfam family "Bacterial small subunit ribosomal RNA", at positions 109 to 334 of the family's 1533-position model. The record is from RNAcentral.
AGUAACGCGUGGGUAACCUGCCUCAUACAGGGGAUAACAGUUAGAAAUGACUGCUAAUACCGCAUAGGCGCACAGUGCUGCAUGGCACAGUGUGAAAAACUCCGGUGGUAUGAGAUGGACCCGCGUCUGAUUAGCUAGUUGGUGGGGUAACGGCCUACCAAGGCGACGAUCAGUAGCCGGCCUGAGAGGGUGAACGGCCACAUUGGGACUGAGACACGGCCCAA